CAAUAGCGUAUGUUAAAGUUGUUGCAGUUAAAAAGCUCGUAGUUGGAUUUCUGGUAGGAGUGACCGUUCCGAACUUGAUUGUUCGUGUAUUGUGUUUUCUCCAGCCAUCCUUGUGGAGAACUUUUCUUGCAUUAAUUUGUAGGGAUUGGGACCCGCAUCGUUUACUGUGAAAAAAUUAGAGUGUUUAAAGCAGGCAAUCGCUUGAAUACAUUAGCAUGGAAUAAUAAGAUAGGACUUUGGUACUAUUUUGUUGGUUUGCAUACCAAAUUAAUGAUCAACAGGAACAGUUUGAGGAUAUUCGUAUGAACAUGUCAGAGGUGAAAUUCUUGGAUUUUGAUCAGACGAACUACUGCGAAAGCGUUUAUCAAGGAUGUUUUCAUUAA
RNAcentral lists this ribosomal RNA (383 nucleotides) under uncultured eukaryote. Its description in RNAcentral is "partial 18S ribosomal RNA". It matches the Rfam family "Eukaryotic small subunit ribosomal RNA", at positions 592 to 976 of the family's 1831-position model. The record is from RNAcentral.